GCUGGGAAUUGUAGCUCUGAAGAAUAAACUAUCGUUUAUUCUUUUUUUGGAGGGAUGUUUUAAAUGUACGCUGUUGUAAAGAGCCACAGUAUGCAUCUUGUAAUUCAAAAAACAAAGCAAUCCCUCUCAGGCUCCGCCCAUCAACAAGGGGAGGAGCCUACAGUCACAUGAGCAGGAAAGCAAAACUUACUUAGCUCCUGUCCUCAUACAGUGUGGAAAUAAAGCAUGUGAAGGCCGUCUCUCACCGCACAAACCUGAUGCCAAGCUCCCCAGCAUGCUGAGAGGAAGGUGACUGACUUGUGGCAAGGCAAGGGUGAGUACGUAUUGCGACAAGCUAUAGCUUCGAAACAGAACCCCAUUUUUUAGAGUUUGGGCAAAUGGCAUCAUGGCUUAAUAAGCCGGGAUGUGAAGAAGACUUUUGUGCGCAGACACAGGCCCUUAAAGCAAGCGAGCCAAGCGGGGAGUCUUCACCAGGUUCCCGUUUACAUAGAAACCAGGAAGCUGUGGUUAAAAUGGCUCCGCAGCAGUUGGAAAUAAAUAACAAAACUUCAGUUAAAAACCACUGGUAUACUCACACACACGUGUGUGAGUCAUAGCCAUGGAGGAGAAGGAAGAUCUAAAUCAUCCUGUUGUGGCAAGACCACCUGGAAGAAUUUUACCCUCAUGAUUUCUAUAUAAUCAUAUAUCCAUAUAUAACCAUAUAUCCUAGAGAUGAUUUUUAUGUACCCAUGUAUCCUGUUGUUGUUGUUGUUUAGUUGUGUCCGACUCUUCUUGACCCCAUGGACCAGAGCACGCCAGGCACUUCUGUCUUCCACUGCCUCCCGCAGUUUGGUCAAACUCAUGCUGGUAGCUUCGAGAACACUGUCCAACCAUCUCGUCCUCUGUCGUCCCCUUCUCCUUGUGCCCUCCAUCUUUCCCAACAUCAGGGUCUUUUCCAGGGAGUCUUCUCUUCUCAUGAGGUGGCCAAAGUACUGGAGCCUCAGCUUCACAAUCUGUCCUUCCAGUGAGCACUCAGGGCUGAUCUCCUUAAGAAUGGAUAGGUUUUAUCUUCUUGCAGUCCAUGGGACUCUCAAGAGCCUUGUCGUACUCAUCUCCCAAUUUUGAACCAAUCAGUUGUUCCAAAUCCAGUUCUGAUUGUAGCUUCUUGUCCCACAUAGAGAUUUAUCAGGAGACGGAUGAGGUGAUCAGGCACUCCCAUUUCUUUAAGAACUUGCCAUAGUAUCCUAAUGAUGCUUAAAAUCACUAAGGCUUCAGCAGAGCUAAAAGUGCUUAAAUCUCAAGAAUCCAAAGUUUCCCCUUUGCCCUCUUUCUCUCUGCCCUGCUAUUGCGCUUGAAGGAAACAAUAAAUCUGAUGUGUUGGCAUUUUUCUAUAGGGAACCUUCGCCAGACUGCUUCUCAUGUUCACGAGAUGGGGUGGGGGAGUGGUAUAGGAAAGAGCAGCCAGCCACAAUGCAAUGUUCUAAGUCAAUAACGGAUGGUGGGGGUUAUUCAGGCUUCAAUGGUCAAAUAGGUUUUCCUCUUUAUUGCUGAAAAUUGACGCACCAUUUAAGAAAAGCAGAAGUAUUCUUUACAUGGUCAGAGGAAGAGCUUGUGUGCGCUCAUUGGUUUGAUUUUUGCUGCAACAUACAAAUAUGUCAUGUUUUAUGCUGUUUGUACUCAGGUAUAAAACCCCAAUGCACAGGGGCUUCGGGGCCC
Molecule: long non-coding RNA, 1695 nt
Filed under: Podarcis lilfordi (Lilford's wall lizard)
Lineage: Eukaryota; Metazoa; Chordata; Lepidosauria; Squamata; Lacertidae
Source: RNAcentral